AUGAACGCUGGCGGCGUGCCUAAUACAUGCAAGUCGAGCGAACGGACGAGAAGCUUGCUUCUCUGAUGUUAGCGGCGGACGGGUGAGUAACACGUGGAUAACCUACCUAUAAGACUGGGAUAACUUCGGGAAACCGGAGCUAAUACCGGAUAUAUUUUGAACCGCAUGGUUCAAAAGUGAAAGACGGUCUUGCUGUCACUUAUAGAUGGAUCCGCGCUGCAUUAGCUAGUUGGUAAGGUAACGGCUUACCAAGGCAACGAUGCAUAGCCGACCUGAGAGGGUGAUCGGCCACACUGGAACUGAGACACGGUCCAGACUCCUACGGGAGGCAGCAGUAGGGAAUCUUCCGCAAUGGGCGAAAGCCUGACGGAGCAACGCCGCGUGAGUGAUGAAGGUCUUCGGAUCGUAAAACUCUGUUAUUAGGGAAGAACAUAUGUGUAAGUAACUGUGCACAUCUUGACGGUACCUAAUCAGAAAGCCACGGCUAACUACGUG
This 495-nucleotide ribosomal RNA is filed under the name uncultured bacterium. RNAcentral describes it as "partial 16S ribosomal RNA". It matches the Rfam family "Bacterial small subunit ribosomal RNA", at positions 29 to 507 of the family's 1533-position model. The record is from RNAcentral.